UUCGAGGUGGAAGCAUGGUGACAUGUGGAGCUGACGAAUACUAAUCGAUCGAAGACUUAAUCAAAUU
RNAcentral lists this ribosomal RNA (67 nucleotides) under Staphylococcus aureus. RNAcentral's name for it is "partial 23S ribosomal RNA". Lineage: Bacteria; Bacillati; Bacillota; Bacilli; Caryophanales; Staphylococcaceae. The record is from RNAcentral.